UUUCCGGAAAGGAAGGAGAAAAGAAACACAAAGAUCAACAGAUUCAGGUCGUCCAAGUCUGCCAGUUCAUACCUUCAAACUCUUUAAUGAAGAAAGAUUUAGAUCACAGCUCACAUAAUCAGAAAGCAAGCAAGCUCAGAAGAAAAAAUAAAUACCAAGCAAAAUGCGUGAUGUGUCAAUUUUGAAUUGGCUAUGUUCCCAGGUUGAUAUACGGUGGGUCUUGACUAUGGAUCCUCUCCCUUUGAGCCAGGAAGUAUUGCUUCAAUUGUUUUGGCUUUUACCCUAUUCUAUCAAUACCAAUCCAACCGAAAUAAUUGCUUGGAUGACAGACGUUUUUAAUUCCAUAAUCCCAACUGAUCCCGCAAUUGAAAUGCAUGUGCGGCCCAUCUUCAAUGAAGUCUAUGCCACACUCAACCAUCUAAGUGUCUUGCCCACAAUUACCGAUGCUGUGCGAUCAAUUAUUUGUCUUCUGAUGAAGUCUUUACUUCCACCUUGAAACCAAUAUGAUAGUUAAUGAGCUAAAAUGAAUAUUUUGUGUGGGAGUUGUAAUGGAGCUGGCUUUCAAAUAGACUUCUCAAUGUACUGAAAAAGAUAUAUGAUGUUCAUAUAUAUUGUGUACUAGUUAAAGAGGUUGAGGUGAAUUUUGAUAAAGUGUUCAAGCUUUUUGGAUGGUGUAUGCAUGAAAUGGCAUGAUUUAUAUUAUUUUCUUUACAUUUUGUUCUGGAAUCUUCUUCUUCUUCUUCUUCUUCUUCUUCUUCUUUUUUUUUUUUUCCUUUUUCUUUUUUAUUUGCUUGGAUGUUAGGUUUUUGAGUUCUUUUCAUAAGAUCUGAGAGAGCAUGGGCCGAGGAGUUAGCAGCAGUGGAGGACAGCGUUCAUUGGGCUAUCUGUUUGGGAGUGGAGAGGCUCCUAAACCAGCUGCAACUAAUGCUGAAACUGCUCCAAACCUGCUGAAUUUAAACUCAUUAGCAACGCAGACCUCAAUUAUUCGCCAUGAUUUUGCACAUUCACUUGGAAUUGAAAUUUGAUUGUAUCUAGGGAUGGAAGCAAAUUAUCUACACGAGAUUUGCAAAAAAUGGUUCAAGCUUUGCCACAGUACACUGAGCAAGUUGACAAGAUUUCUGUCCAUGUGGAGAUUGCAGGAAAAAUUAACAGAAUUAUUAGAGAGAUGGGACUUCAAGAAAUUGGGCAACUGGAGCAGGAUCUAGUUUUUGGAGAUGUAGGAGCCAAGGAUGUUAUUAAUUUUCUGAUUACUUUUCCUGGAUCUCCGCUUCACCUGAAGGAAUAACUUAUCAUACUAAGUCCAUUCAGUGCUUACUUCGCAACCUGAAAUUACCUUUUUGUUUUUUUAAGACCAGCAAGAUGGUUGUUACUUGGUUGUGUUUGUAAUUAAAUGCAAUGUAAGAGUAAAAAAAGUUGGU
Molecule: long non-coding RNA, 1418 nt
Organism: Alnus glutinosa
Lineage: Eukaryota; Viridiplantae; Streptophyta; Magnoliopsida; Fagales; Betulaceae
Exons: 5
Source: RefSeq, a predicted model, not a curated record